RNAcentral lists this transfer RNA (89 nucleotides) under Elusimicrobia bacterium RIFOXYB2_FULL_49_7. Its description in RNAcentral is "tRNA-Ser". It matches the Rfam family "tRNA". From Rfam's summary of the family: Transfer RNA (tRNA) molecules are approximately 80 nucleotides in length. Their secondary structure includes four short double-helical elements and three loops (D, anti-codon, and T loops). Lineage: Bacteria; Pseudomonadati; Elusimicrobiota. The record is from RNAcentral.
GGAGAGAUGCCAGAGUGGUUGAUAGGGGCGGUCUCGAAAACCGUUAAACCCAGUGAUGGGUUUCCCGGGUUCGAAUCCCGGUCUCUCCG